Molecule: long non-coding RNA, 139 nt
Organism: Myotis brandtii (Brandt's bat)
Lineage: Eukaryota; Metazoa; Chordata; Mammalia; Chiroptera; Vespertilionidae
Exons: 3
Source: RefSeq, a predicted model, not a curated record
CCCUUUCUCUUUAAUAGAAAUGUCAACAAAAACAACCAAAUUCACAGUCGACUAUGACAGAUUGAAACAUACACGUGCGAUUGGCGCUAGUGAGAGCUUUAUAUGUAUUGUGCAUGUGCGAGUCAAUGUUUAUUUUUAA